UGGAGUAAUAAUUACUGACAUGACUUCGUGGGUACAAUCUUACAGGUUUAUGAUAUUAAGAAUUAGCAGCGUGUUUUUUUGUUUGCUGCUGGAUUUCCUAACAAUCUGUCUCUUCUGUUGUUAAUUGAUAUGAAGACUUGCUGUUUUUCAUUCAGUUGAAGAGCUCUCCAGGCUUAACAUCUUUCUUGGAUAAUUGUGUUGUUAAAUAUGAAGGUGUCUGAGGACGUUCAGUUCUUGUAUGCGGCGUAAAACUUGAACUACCUACAGAUGAUUUCGCCAGUUCAACGGAAACUUAGAAUAACCAAGGGAACUUUCUCAGUUUUUUUUGCUCUUCUCAGAUUUUAGGCUGGGGGUAUUAACAUAUAUGCCAACCGUAAAUUUAGAUAUUAAUGUAAGAUUAAAUAGGGAUAAAUCCUUCUGCCAUGUUGACUAAUUAGAAUUACAAAGAAGAAAAGAAAUUAUUAAAGAAGAGAUAUAGUCGAAUAGGUUGUUGUGGUGUUUCUUUGAUCUUCACUAGACCUCUCAUUUUUGAUUGGCAUGGCGAUGAUCUGUUUCUUCUGGUGUUUCUCUGCUUCAAGAUUCGCUCAUGUGCCAAAGCCAGCUCGGGGAAGCCUUCCUGGACUCCUGAUCAACCAGGACAAUCACGACACGAGCUUAAGCGAGCGGAACAUCGAAGGAGGAUCUUGGGGAUGACGGAGGCGUCGACGACAACCUCAAAGGCGAGAGGUAUUGCUUUCAUGUCUCUGCGUUUCUUACUUUAUGCAACUCUGUCGGUAUUAAGGUCGUAUAUUCGGUGGGAGCAACGAAAAUUGAAUUUGUUAAUGUUUAGAAUUUGGACGAUCUGUUUGAUACGAUACGUCUGCACUGGUGAUGUUGAACAUUGUUCAAGACACUGUGGGUUCAGGUGUGAGGAAUACAAUUUGGCUUGCAGGGUUCAGGCUACUCUCUUGUGCUUGUUUUGCCUUGUGAUUACUUGAAACUGCAGCCUGCAGAUUGAAUGGGCACUUGAUUUGUUAGGGCGGAAGGCUUAAGCAAAGAAAGCUGCUGCUCUUUGUGCUGUAGUACAUUUCAUUUGAGAGCCAGAUGAGGUCCGUUAAAUUAGGAUUAAAGUCUGCACAAUAAUUAAAAACACUGAAUAAGCAAGGCCA
Non-coding RNA from Triticum urartu, 1148 nucleotides. NCBI's taxonomy places the organism in Eukaryota, Viridiplantae, Streptophyta, Magnoliopsida, Poales, Poaceae. The record is from RefSeq and is a predicted model, not a curated record.